AUGCAUUGGCAUGCUUGGAUCCAUUUGAUAAAACCAAAGGCGGAAGGCGGACUUGGCUUCGGCGACCUACGCCUAUUUAACCAAGCUUUGCUCGCUCGCCAAGCAUGGCGGCUCUUGACCAAACCGGAGAGUCUGUGUGCUCGUGUUUUGAAGGCGAGAUACUACCCGAAUGGAAGCUUGGAAGAUACGGUUUUCUCAAGAGGAGCUUCGGCGACUUGGCAGGCAGUUGAACACGGGCUGCAACUUCUCAAGUCCGGCUAA
Molecule: ribosomal RNA, 261 nt
Filed under: Triticum aestivum (bread wheat)
Lineage: Eukaryota; Viridiplantae; Streptophyta; Magnoliopsida; Poales; Poaceae
Description: partial small subunit ribosomal RNA
Source: RNAcentral